UUGGCUAGAAGCACAGAUUUUGGACUACUAUUCUCCGAUUAGUCUCUUAUUAGUGGGCUAAAAUCUUUAUUUAGUGUACAUUAAGAGUUGAUACUUAUUUUGAUCUGCGGAGGGUGCUAUUGAGGCAAUGUUAGUACAGGUUCAUCAUUGAUCAACCCGGACCAACAUUGAUCCUGGGCCGUCAUUACCAUGUUGACCCAGGAGCAACAUUUUCUCAUUGACCCUGAGCUAACGUUACCAUGUUGACCCAGGAGCAACAUUUUCUUGUUGAGCCUGGGCUAACGUUACCAUGUUGACCCAGGAGCAACAUUUUCUUGUUGAGCCUGGGCUAAUGUUACCAUGUUGACCCAGGAGCAACAUUUUCCUAACAUUGCACAAUUACUGUUCUUUUCAGGGACGCAAAAAAAGAGUGUGCCUGCUAUCGUAAAAGCUUUACCCAAAAAGAAAAAAGCAAGGACAACAAUAUUCAGCGCCCUGUCAGAGCAGGAAGCAAAGGAGCUGGCCAAUGGUUUUGCCACUAGACUGGCAUUGGAUGUUACUGCUGACACAGUCUGUGACGGAGUGGAUGCUGCAUGUGCUGAUGAAGACACUUCAGAAAUUACAAAGCAACCUGAAAGCAGCCUUGACGGAAUCAUCAAUUUGGAUCUCCAGCUUUGGAUGCUACUAUGUCUUUUCUUAUUGACAAGCUGGACAGGGUUGGCAAAUGAAAGGCACUAGUUGUCCUUUUAGUUGUGUUUUUUGUUGUAAAGCCACAUUGUUUUUUGUCUUAAAACCCCCAGUUGUGUUUCAGUCUAAUUAAAUGUCAUAUAAUUAGAUGUAA
Molecule: long non-coding RNA, 820 nt
Organism: Sardina pilchardus (European sardine)
Lineage: Eukaryota; Metazoa; Chordata; Actinopteri; Clupeiformes; Clupeidae
Exons: 2
Source: RefSeq, a predicted model, not a curated record